AUUGAACGCUGGCGGCACGCUUAACACAUGCAAGUCGAACGGGAUCCUGGCUUCGGUCAGGUGAGAGUGGCGGACGGGUGAGUAGCGCGUGGGAACCUGCCCAGUGGUGGGGGAUAACUGCGGGAAACUGCAGCUAAUACCGCAUGAGCCCGAGAGGGGAAAGAUUUAUCGCCAUUGGAGGGGCCCGCGUUCGAUUAGGUAGUUGGUGAGGUAACGGCUCACCAAGCCGACGAUCGAUAGCUGGUCUGAGAGGAUGAUCAGCCACACUGGGACUGAGAUACGGCCCAGACUCCUACGGGAGGCAGCAGUGGGGAAUAUUGGACAAUGGGGGCAACCCUGAUCCAGCAAUGCCGCGUGAGUGAUGAAGGCCUCGGGUUGUAAAGCUCUUUGGUCGGGGACGAUGAUGACGGUACCCGCAGAAUAAGCCCCGGCUAACUUCGUGCCAGCAGCCGCGGUAAU
RNAcentral lists this ribosomal RNA (459 nucleotides) under uncultured bacterium. RNAcentral describes it as "bacterial SSU rRNA". It matches the Rfam family "Bacterial small subunit ribosomal RNA", at positions 29 to 524 of the family's 1533-position model. The record is from RNAcentral.